This is a non-coding RNA of Oryza barthii, 275 nucleotides long. NCBI's taxonomy places the organism in Eukaryota, Viridiplantae, Streptophyta, Magnoliopsida, Poales, Poaceae. The record is from Rfam.
GAUUUCAACUAAAAAAGUUAUCAACAACAAAGUUGAAUAACUCAUCAAGAUCUAAAACUUUUAUUUUAGUCAUUUCUUCAUCUGAUAAAAUGUUAGUAAUAUUGUUCACAAAUUUUACAUAUAUGUGUUAUAGUUUAUAAAACCAGAUAAGAGAGAUGUCAAUUUUGUGAACAAUGUUACUAUCACUUUAUCAGAUGAAGAAAUGACCAAAAUAAUAGUUUUAGAUCUUGAUGAGUUAUUCAACUUUGUUGUUGAUAACUUUUUCAGUUGAAAUC